CGAGGGGUUUGUUUACUGGCGUUGCUAUGGUUACCGGUCUUGCGCGUUCCAACGGUUUAGCGGUGGUAUCUAAUAAAUCGCUGUCUGAUCAAUACUUCAUUCACUGCCUCUUCCGUGGUCAUUACGAUAUUAUGGACCGACUGCGUCCUGUUCUCCGCCGUCCCUCGCUCUUCCACAACAGACUCACCGUCACCCUGGAUAGAGGGGAGAGAGAACUUACUGGAUGAACUCGGUGAGGGUUUUAUCCAAGUUAUUAAAUCAAUCGUGUCAUUAACAUUCAUUUCAAAAACACCCUCUGCUUCUGUGAUUCAUAUUGUGGUCUACUAAGGUCAGGUUUCUAUCGUCGUCUAUUAAGGUCAUGCUUCUAUGUGGUCUGUUAAGGUCAGGUCUCAGGGUUGUGUGUCCGUAACGAAGACCGUAAGAUAAGCAGUUCUCUGUUUGUUCAGGAUGUUCUUUUACAUUCAACAGAUGAAUUGACACUUCAGGGCUGGAUGCUUCACGACAAGAAUCUCUACCGUGUUUCUACUACGAAGAAGGGCUGGAGGGCCAGUAGAGAAGACUGUCAGAAGAGAAAGGCAGACCUGGUGGUCAUCAACAGCAGAGAAGAACUGGUGUGUGUGUGUGUGUGUGUGUGUGUGUGUGUGUGUGUGUGUGUGUGUGUACUUUGUGGUCAUGACAACAGAUGCUAUUACCUUUGGAAACAGGCGUUUGUCAGCAGAUUGAUGGGUUCUUCCUGGAUUGGACUGAGUGAUCGAGAGAAGGAGGGGACCCACAAGUGGGUGGAUGGUACCCCCAUGACCUCAAGUUGGAGACACGUUAAACCACGCGAUGACGGCG
Long non-coding RNA from Gadus morhua (Atlantic cod), 837 nucleotides. RefSeq lists it as uncharacterized. The transcript is spliced from 3 exons. Lineage: Eukaryota; Metazoa; Chordata; Actinopteri; Gadiformes; Gadidae. The record is from RefSeq and is a predicted model, not a curated record.